UGUGCCAGCCGUCGCGGUAAGACAUGAAAGACAAGCGUUAUUCAUCUUUAAUAGGUUUAAAGGGUACUCAGACAGUUAAUUAAGCCUGCACAAGGAACUGAUUAUGCUAGAGUUUGAUAGGAGAAGGCUAGAACGGUUAGUGGAGAGAUAAAAUAUUUUGAUACAACUUUGAUACUGACAACAGCGAAGGCAACCUUUUAUGUAAAAACUGACGUUAAAGGACGAAGGCUAUAAACAAACAACAGGAUUAGAUACCCCAGUAUUAGUAGCAGUCAAUGAUGAAUGUUGUAGGUAAGUAAUAUAGUUUACCUAUAAAUGAAAAUGUAAACAUUCCACCUUAAGAGUAAAAUGGCAACGUAGGAACUGAAAUCAUUAGACCGUUUCUGAAACCAGUAGUGAAGUAUGUUAGUUAAAUUGAUGAUCCACAAAGAACCUUACCACAACUUGAAUGUUAAUUCACAGGAGUUGCACGGCUGUCUUCAGUUGAUAUCGUGAGAUUUUGGUUAGUUCCAUUUAAUCAACGUAAACCCUUACUUUAAUUUUUACUUAAAGUAGUUCGCCAUUAUAUUGGAUAUGAUAAAAGGGACUAAGACAAGUCAUCAUGACCCAAAUGUUGUGGGCUAUAG
Molecule: ribosomal RNA, 626 nt
Filed under: Porina karnatakensis
Lineage: Eukaryota; Fungi; Ascomycota; Lecanoromycetes; Ostropales; Porinaceae
Description: SSU rRNA
Rfam family: Bacterial small subunit ribosomal RNA
Source: RNAcentral